RNAcentral lists this ribosomal RNA (501 nucleotides) under uncultured bacterium. Its description in RNAcentral is "partial 16S ribosomal RNA". It matches the Rfam family "Bacterial small subunit ribosomal RNA", at positions 30 to 523 of the family's 1533-position model. The record is from RNAcentral.
AUUGAACGCUGGCGGCAGGCUUAACACAUGCAAGUCGAGCGGAGAGAGGUAGCUUGCUACUGAUCUUAGCGGCGGACGGGUGAGUAAUGCUUAGGAAUCUGCCUAUUAGUGGGGGACAACAUUUCGAAAGGAAUGCUAAUACCGCAUACGUCCUACGAGAGAAAGCAGGGGAUCUUCGGACCUUGCGCUAAUAGAUGAGCCUAAGUCGGAUUAGCUAGUUGGGGGGGUAAAGGCCUACCAAGGCGACGAUCUGCAGCGGGUCUGAGAGGAGGAUCCGCCACACUGGGACUGAGACACGGCCCAGACUCCUACGGGAGGCAGCAGUGGGGAAUAUUGGACAAUGGGCGCAAGCCUGAUCCAGCCAUGCCGCGUGUGUGAAGAAGGCCUUAUGGUUGUAAAGCACUUUAAGCGAGGAGGAGGCUACUUUAGAUAAUACCUAGAGAUAGUGGACGUUACUCGCAGAAUAAGCACCGGCUAACUCUGUGCCAGCCGCCGCAGUAA